RNAcentral lists this unclassified non-coding RNA (208 nucleotides) under uncultured fungus. Its description in RNAcentral is "sequence contains ITS1". Lineage: Eukaryota; Fungi. The record is from RNAcentral.
GUAUUAGUUACAAAAGUAAGACAUCCAUAGACAUAUGUAGUGUGUGUAGACGGACGUCCCCCGGAGAGGGGACACCCGCAGAGUGCACAGGUGUGAGAAUCACGUGACGGGACCACGCGUGCAGCCCAAAGGCGCACAGCGAGGAACCGCGGUGAGGCACCCCAUAGGGGCUUCGAUAAUGAUCCUUCCGCAGGUUCACCUACGGAAA